RNAcentral lists this transfer RNA (72 nucleotides) under Marmota marmota marmota (Alpine marmot). It matches the Rfam family "tRNA". Rfam says of the family: Transfer RNA (tRNA) molecules are approximately 80 nucleotides in length. Their secondary structure includes four short double-helical elements and three loops (D, anti-codon, and T loops). Further hydrogen bonds mediate the characteristic L-shaped molecular structure. tRNAs have two regions of fundamental functional importance: the anti-codon, which is responsible for specific mRNA codon recognition, and the 3' end, to which the tRNAs corresponding amino acid is attached (by aminoacyl-tRNA synthetases). tRNAs cope with the degeneracy of the genetic code in two manners: having more than one tRNA (with a specific anti-codon) for a particular amino acid; and 'wobble' base-pairing, i.e. permitting non-standard base-pairing at the 3rd anti-codon position. The record is from Rfam by way of RNAcentral. RNAcentral also lists the same sequence under 2 other names. Lineage: Eukaryota; Metazoa; Chordata; Mammalia; Rodentia; Sciuridae.
UGGAGUGUGACUCAGUGGUAGAGUGAAUGCCUGUCACACAGGAGGCCCUGGGUUUGAUCCCCAGCACCAUAC